RNAcentral lists this ribosomal RNA (453 nucleotides) under Listeria monocytogenes. RNAcentral's name for it is "partial 23S ribosomal RNA". It matches the Rfam family "Bacterial large subunit ribosomal RNA", at positions 1 to 439 of the family's 2925-position model. Lineage: Bacteria; Bacillati; Bacillota; Bacilli; Caryophanales; Listeriaceae. The record is from RNAcentral. RNAcentral also lists the same sequence under 1 other name.
AGUAAAUUGGUUAAGUUAGAAAGGGCGCACGGUGGAUGCCUUGGCACUAGGAGCCGAAGAAGGACGGGACUAACACCGAUAUGCUUUGGGGAGCUGUACGUAAGCGUUGAUCCAGAGAUUUCCGAAUGGGGGAACCCACUAUCUUUAGUCGGAUAGUAUCCUUACGUGAAUACAUAGCGUGAGGAAGGCAGACCCAGGGAACUGAAACAUCUAAGUACCUGGAGGAAGAGAAAGAAAAAUCGAUUUCCUGAGUAGCGGCGAGCGAAACGGAAAGAGCCCAAACCAAGAAGCUUGCUUCUUGGGGUUGUAGGACACUCUAUACGGAGUUACAAAAGAAAGUUAUAAAUGAAGCGGUCUGGAAAGGCCCGCCAAAGACGGUAACAGCCCGGUAGUUGAAAUGGCUUUCCCUCCAGAGUGGAUCCUGAGUACGGCGGAACACGUGAAAUUCCGUCG